UUUCAUGACUAGUUUUGUAUGACUAUAUGGAAGUACUUGAUCAUUAAUUGAAUGUUGAAUGAGAAGUUAUCUCAAGGUGAUGUAUUUGAUAUGAAUUAUGUGAAUGAGAUGAUAUUGGUGAGUCCAUAUACAUUGUUUACUAUGAUAUAAUAUUAAUUAUGCAUGAGGUGAUGAAUUAUUGAUGUGAUUGCAUAAAUGCAAAUAAAUAUUGGUGAUGAUAUGGUGAG
RNAcentral lists this long non-coding RNA (227 nucleotides) under Medicago truncatula (barrel medic). RNAcentral describes it as "long non-coding RNA (MTRU_LNC008542)". Lineage: Eukaryota; Viridiplantae; Streptophyta; Magnoliopsida; Fabales; Fabaceae. The record is from RNAcentral.